GACGAACGCUGGCGGCGUGCCUAACAUAUGCAAGUCGAACGAAGCAUUUAAGUGAAUCCCUUCGGGGUGAAGCUUUUAUGACUUAGUGGCGGACGGGUGAGUAACGCGUGAGUAACCUGCCUUUCAGAGGGGGAUAACAGUUGGAAACGACUGCUAAUACCGCAUAACGUAUAUUUAAGGCAUCUUAGAUAUACCAAAGCUGAGGCGCUGAAAGAUGGACUCGCGCCUGAUUAGAUAGUUGGUGAGGUAACGGCUCACCAAGUCGACGAUCAGUAGCCGGACUGAGAGGAUGACCGGCCACAUUGGAACUGAGACACGGUCCAA
Molecule: ribosomal RNA, 324 nt
Filed under: uncultured bacterium
Lineage: Bacteria
Description: bacterial SSU rRNA
Rfam family: Bacterial small subunit ribosomal RNA
Source: RNAcentral